This 429-nucleotide ribosomal RNA is filed under the name Acidobacteriota bacterium. RNAcentral describes it as "Acidobacteria bacterium partial 16S ribosomal RNA". It matches the Rfam family "Bacterial small subunit ribosomal RNA", at positions 355 to 776 of the family's 1533-position model. The record is from RNAcentral. Lineage: Bacteria; Pseudomonadati; Acidobacteriota.
UGGGGAAUUUUGGACAAUGGGGGAAACCCUGAUCCAGCCAUCCCGCGUGUGCGAUGAAGGCCUUCGGGUUGUAAAGCACUUUUGGCAGGAAAGAAACGUCAUGGGUUAAUACCCCGUGAAACUGACGGUACCUGCAGAAUAAGCACCGGCUAACUACGUGCCAGCAGCCGCGGUAAUACGUAGGGUGCAAGCGUUAAUCGGAAUUACUGGGCGUAAAGCGUGCGCAGGCGGUUCGGAAAGGAAGAUGUGAAAUCCCAGAGCACAACUUUGGAACUUCAUUAUUAACUACCGGGAUGGAGUUUGUAAGAGGGAGGUGGAAUUCCGGGUGUGGGAGUGAAAUGCGUAGAUAGGCGGAGGAACACCGAUGGCGAAGGCAGCCUCCUGAGAUAACACUGACGCUAAUGCAUGAAAGCGUGGGGAGCAAACAGG